Molecule: ribosomal RNA, 1299 nt
Filed under: Notochthamalus scabrosus
Lineage: Eukaryota; Metazoa; Arthropoda; Thecostraca; Balanomorpha; Chthamalidae
Description: 16S ribosomal RNA
Rfam family: Archaeal large subunit ribosomal RNA (bases 854-1218)
Source: RNAcentral
UGUUAAAUCUUAUUUAAUAAAAUUAUUAUUAGAAACGUAAAAAAAAUAGUAGCGUUAGCGAAAUUUAUUUAUUAUUAUAGUUUAUUAGUACUGUGAAGGAAUAAUGAAAUAUUUGAAAAUAAAACAUAUAAAAAGUACUAGUUAAUUUAGGUACCUUUUGUAUCAGUGAUUAUUAAAAUGUUUAUUUAUACAUCUUCUCGAAAAUAAAAGAUCUAUAAAUUUUAUUUAGUUUUUGUAUCAACAAAAUUUGUAAAAUUUUUAUAGGGGUGAAACAUUAACCGAUUUUAUUAAUAUCUAGUAACUUUUGAAAAAAAUUUAGUUUGAUGUAUUUAGGGUAACCUUUAUUUUGAAGUUUAUCUAAUUAUACAUAUAAUCUAUAGGGGAUGAGCUCUGUAGACUACUUACAAGGUACAACAUUUACAUUUUUAAACUAGGCCUAGAAUUAGCCAUUAGAAAGUGUUAUAAAAUAUAACUUUGUUCAUACGAUUUUAUUACCUUUAAUUUUCUAAAAAGUUAAUUUAAAAAUACAAUUAAAUAUGAAAAUAUGAUAAUAUUAGUAGAUGUGUUAAUAAAGGUUUUAUUUUAAAUAAUUCGUUUUCCAUUAACAUAAUAAUUAUAAUACAAGAAUUCGGCAAAAAAGAUUUCCGAAUGUUUAACAAAAACAUUUCCUUCUAGAAAAGAAGGUAAGGCCUGCUCACUGAAUAAUUAAAGAGCCGCAGUAUUUUGACUGUGCUAAGGUAGCAUAAUCAUUAGUCUUUUAAUUGGGGACUGGUAUGAAUGGCUAAACGAGAAAUCAGCUUUUUUUUAUUAUAUAAAUUUAAUUUAUUUUUUUAGUGAAAAAACUAAAAUUUUUCAAAAAGACGAGAAGACCCUAUAGAGUUUUAUGUGGUAAUAAAUUAAAUUAUACUAGAUUUCUACUAAUAGAAUUUUGAUUCACAAUUUGUUGGGGCGACAUUAAGAAAUGACAAACUCUUUUUUUUAAAUACUUUUAUAAAAGUAAUAUUUGAUCCUUUAAAAAAGAUCAUAAGAAAAAAUUACCUUAGGGAUAACAGCGUAAUCUUUUUUGAGAGUUCUAAUCGACAAAAAGGUUUGCGACCUCGAUGUUGGACUAAAAUUUAGGCAUGGUGCAGUAGCUUUGCUUUAGGGUCUGUUCGACCCGUAAUAUUUUACACGAUCUGAGUUCAGACCGGCGUAAGCCAGGUUGGUUUCUAUCUUUUGACUUUAUUAUAUUAAUUUAGUACGAAAGGAUUGAUUAGUAGUAAUUUUUAUACAGAGAAGAGGAUUUAUAAUUUCAGUUAU